UCGUGGCUCAGUGGUAGAGCAGCUGAUUCGUAAUCAGCAGGUCGCCGGUUCAAAUCCGGCCG
RNAcentral lists this transfer RNA (62 nucleotides) under uncultured Filifactor sp. It matches the Rfam family "tRNA", at positions 6 to 65 of the family's 71-position model. Rfam says of the family: Transfer RNA (tRNA) molecules are approximately 80 nucleotides in length. Their secondary structure includes four short double-helical elements and three loops (D, anti-codon, and T loops). Lineage: Bacteria; Bacillati; Bacillota; Clostridia; Peptostreptococcales; Filifactoraceae. The record is from RNAcentral.